This 1533-nucleotide long non-coding RNA is filed under the name Mus musculus (house mouse). RNAcentral's name for it is "long non-coding RNA chr5:81078559-81080092". Lineage: Eukaryota; Metazoa; Chordata; Mammalia; Rodentia; Muridae. The record is from RNAcentral.
AAACACAUUUACUUUUCUGUCAGCAUUACUGUUAUACAAAGGAAUAGAGAAGGGAGAAUUGCAUGUUUUGAUUACAUGGAUGGUAGACUCCUCUUUUAAGUUUAACUCAGAACUGUCAAUCAUUCUCCUAAUGCUUUGCAUUUCCUAAUACAUCAUUUGAAUUAACCUAUGGUUCAUGUAUCCAAGAUAACAUGUACCAAGCUGUAAGUACUUCCCUAGAGCUGUACAUGUUAUCACAGAGUUAGUAAGUUGUUAGAAAAGCUUUUAAGAUUAGAAUUUAAACUUUCUAGUACUAGACUCUUUACUCUUUCUUUUCACAAGUUGACAGUGCAGUUGUUUGAGUCACACCACCCUGUGUUCAUUCUUCGGGCUCUUCUUCAGUCAGGCAUAUCUUCAAGGGUUAACUUUUAUUGUUGGAUCUAUUUUGUAAGUCAUUCAAUAUUGUCCAGUGGAUAGGGAUAAUUUUUCCCUCUUCCCUGACUCACUAUCCUUACACUUGUCAUUCAGGUGGUCACUGUCUUCACACGAGACAGCGUAACCAAUAAUUUCAAUAUUUUAUCUGUCAUUUUUUAUUAGAUAUUUUCAUUAUUUACAUUUCAAAUAUUAUCCCCUUUCCUAGUUUCCCCUCCGAAAAACCCCUAUCCUCUACCCCCUUCGCCUGCUCACCAGUGCACCCACUCCGAUUCCCAGUCCUGGCCUUCCCCUAUAUUGGGGCAUAGAACCUUCACAGGACCUAGGGCCUCUCUUCCCAUUGAUGACCGAUUAGGCCAUCCUCAGCUACAAAUACAACUAGAGCCACAUGUCCCACCAUGUGUUUUCUUUGAUUGGUGGUUUAGUUCCAAGGAGCUCUGGGGGUACUGGUUAGUUCUCCUUGGGUACUAUCUCUAGCUCAUUUACUGGAGACCUUGUGCUCUGUCCAAUGGAUGAUUGAAAGCAUCCAGUUCUUUACUUGCCAGGCACUGGCAAAGGCCUUUAGGAGACAGUUUUAUCGGACUCCUGUCAGCAGGCUCUUGUUGGCAUCUGCCAUAGUGUCUGGGUUUGGUGGUGGUUUAUGGGAUGGAUCCACAAGUGGGGCAGUCUCUGUAUGAUCCUUCCUUCAGACUCUGCUCUGAACUUUGUCUCUGUACUCCUUCCAUAGGUAUUUUGUUCCCCCUUCUAAGAAGGAUUCUGAGCUUCUGGGCUAAUAUCCACUUAUUAGUGAGUGCAUAUCAUGUGUGUUCUUUCGUGAUUGGGUUACCUCACUCAAGAUGAUAUCCUCCAGAUACAUCCAUUUGCCUAAGAAUUUCAUAAAUUCAUUGUUUUUAAUUGCUGAGUAGUACUCCAUUGUGUAAAUGUACCACAUUUUCUGUAACCAUUCCUCUGUUGAGGGACAUCUGGGUUCUUUCCAGCUUCUGUCUAUUCUAAAUAAGGCUGCUAUGAACAUAGUGGAGCAUGUGUCCUUAUUACUAGUUGGAGCAUCUUCUGGGUAUAUGUCCGGGAGUGGUAUUGCUGGAUCUUUCAGUAGAACUAUGUCCAAUUUUCUGAGAAACCACU